Molecule: small nuclear RNA, 197 nt
Organism: Dermacentor andersoni
Lineage: Eukaryota; Metazoa; Arthropoda; Arachnida; Ixodida; Ixodidae
Product: U2 spliceosomal RNA
Source: RefSeq, a predicted model, not a curated record
AAAGCCGACGCGUAGACGUGGCCGAAGCGGGUCAAAGUGUAGUAUCUGUUCUUAUCAGCUUAAUAUCUGAUACGGGUUGUAUUUGUAUUCAAGAUAUUAAACUUAUUUUUCUAAGUUGGCGGAGUGCUUAAAGCGUGCUUGACUUUCACCGCUGUUCUGCCCGGAAUUGCACUAUCUUCGGGAUCGACCCAUGGUUU